CAAGAAUCUCUAGUACGACUCACUCGAACGUUGUUGUGUUUGUUCUUUCAUUUCAGAACUCCCAUCAAUUCUGUAGCGAAAUUACAAGAAUCGCCCUUUCAAAAUUCCACGAUUGAACCUAAAGACUGAUUGAACUCAAUUUGGGGUAAAAUUCAGUUGACAAUAUCAAUUCUGUUUUGCAUAUAUCUUUUAUGGUUGUUUGGUUAUCUAAUUUGCUCUCGCGCGUUGUUGUGGACGCUUAAUUCGACCUGCAUCCAUCUCGAUAUCAAUCGUCGCAUUGUUGUCAAAGUUAGUGCCAGAUGCUUACUUAGUUGUAAGGCAUCCCCUUCUUUUGUUAUGCAAUGUCUAAAUCUGGUAUUUGCCAAUGCACCUUAUAUUUUACAAUUGGAGCUAAAGUUAAAGGCGCAGAUAACCUUUGGGACUGUGAGGUGAAAUUUAAGGAUUCAACUGAGUCUAAGAAGGCUAGUGCACUAGUGUUCUCCACGUUUGAAGAAGCUCAAAAGCAAUAUGAUAUGUUUUGUGCCAUCAACUCAAAAUGGGUCCCCAAAACGUAUGGUGUUAAAAAAGAUCCAAAAACUGGGCAAGGGCUGGUUCUCGUGGAAAGGAUAUUUCCAUUUGAUACUUGGUUGUAUAAUACGGACAAAAAUAAUAUGUGGAAUAUUAUUGAUGGUGUAUGUAUUGGAGUUGGUACUGAGUUCAAGAAAAAAUUUAAUCAAAUAAUUUUGGGGGUGGAAGCAAUCCACAAAUAUGGAUCUCGCCAUGGAAAUUUGUCGAAGGGAGUUUAUCUUGGAGUAGAUCAGAAUGUACGCUUGGGCAACUUUUUCCACCCGCAUGCUAAUAGUGAGAGUCUUAAAAAAGACCUUCUAGAAUUUAAAGAGUUAGUUACUAUUGCUACUUCGAAACAUCCACCGCCCAGAGUAAGCUCAGAAGAUGUACCUAAAGAAGUACCUGAAGUUCAGCAAUUUUAUAACUUGUUCGAUCACUUUACUUCGAAAGGAAAUUUUCGAGAGGGUUACGCAUCUUGGUUAUAUCGAGCACCCCUACUUUGGGGCUCUUGUAAGAAGGCUGCCUUUUUUAACUGGCUUAAUCGGGCUUUUGAGAUUAACCCUAAUUUGGUCAAGGAACACUUUAACCAAUACAUAUCACACUACUUUCCUGAGGGUUGGGAGUACAGAAUUUCAGCAAAUACUCCCUUACUACAAACUUGGGAACAUCAGGUCCCUUCCCUUAGUGAUCCCAGUAUAAAAGAGCCAAAUUGGUGGUAUAUGUACUCAUAUGGAAUAGUCGUAUUGAUUAGGAAUUUUUACCAUCACUGCCCUCCUGAUGUCAAGCCGAUCAAUCACGUUGAGUAUGAUUUUCCUGAAGUUUUGGGUGUCGUUUACUAUGAAUUUGCAACCGGACCUUAUAAGAAUCAGGUAUUGGUGCCUGGGGACAAUGCCGUACCAGCGAAGAAGGUCAUCGAAUAUAUCUUUGAAGAACCUUGGUUUUAUGGCGUGGAGUUUAAUUAGUUCCGGAAGCAAGAUUACUGGGAAGAAGCUUAUAUCACGGUAUGCAACAUGCACUAGUUUAUGAAAUCUCUAGAGUGCUUGCCCUGUGGGAUAAUCCUCAAUAUUAUAAAUGUUAUCAAUUGAAACAACAAGUAAGCUCAAGGAAAUGGAAGUAUAUUAGGGGUUCAUACAGUGGGCGGCAGUGCACUGGUUUCUGCAUCUCUCCUUGGCUUAUGCGGUACUUAAAUUGCAAAAGUUAAUUGCUGAGAGUUCGUGGGACUUUCAGCAUUUUCCUUCUGCAAUUUACUCAAACAUGAGCCUAUUUUUUAUCAACGAUUAUAGUUGACUUCAUAUUAUGGUUUUCAUAUAGUUGUUGUAGAUCUGUUUAGUGUUCCAUGUACACCUCAAAAUUUGUGUUGACUUUCGGUCAAUGGUUCUAGUGGACUUCAUAAUAUGGUUUUCAUAUAGUGGUUGUAGAUCUGUUUAGUGGCCCACUCAAAAUUUAUGGUCGAGUUUUACCCGUACAUUGUACUCCAGAGCCUUUCCACUUUCCAACUUCAGAAUUCUUUGUUGUUUUACUGCCCUGAGUAUUAAAUGUGAUGGUUCACCUGAA
Lycium barbarum (goji berry) is the source of this 2100-nucleotide RNA transcript. RefSeq lists it as uncharacterized. Lineage: Eukaryota; Viridiplantae; Streptophyta; Magnoliopsida; Solanales; Solanaceae. The record is from RefSeq and is a predicted model, not a curated record. The transcript has 9 exons.